Molecule: long non-coding RNA, 499 nt
Organism: Leptopilina boulardi
Lineage: Eukaryota; Metazoa; Arthropoda; Insecta; Hymenoptera; Figitidae
Exons: 2
Source: RefSeq, a predicted model, not a curated record
UGAUGCGUGGAGAAUUGUCACGAGUAUGAUUGUAAUUAUUGUGCGUAUGCGUCGAUUCAAGUGGGGAUUUCUUGAAUUUUCUUGAGUGAUAUGGCCUCGUGAAUUAGAGAAAUCCCUCACUUCCGUUUGCUGUUCGUAUUCAUCGCCAUAUUGUAAGCGUGCUGCCAGCGACCUUAUAGUAUGGUGCUUCUGCAUAAUGGGAUGAGUGUGGAUUAAGUGGAUUAAUACAGCGACCGUCACCACGUGGCUUUUGUAACGACGACUGGAACUAUCUUUUGUCUUCGAUCGUUCCUAUUCAAAACUAUGCCAAGCCGAAUAAUAUAUUGAAGUUAAAAAUAAUUGGGCUCUUCACGUCGUGGUUUGUACGAGUCAAUCAAACUGCAUUUUGCAAUCUCCACUUCACUAUUUCAACGAAAGCAACGGAAGCUAAGUUUUUGUAUUUUCUUGAUUUAUUUUGUCUUAUGAAUGUGUAUUUGUCUGAAUGUAUAUUCAAAUCUUU